AUGGAAAAAUUUCAGGGGAGAGAGAAUCAGAUAUUGAGAGUGGGAGAACCGUCUUCUUCUUCCUCCUUCCCAUUCCUACGAAUCAGAGAGAUCGAGUCUGGCUUCAAACCAGGAAAAAAAAAAAAAAAACCACAGCCACCUAGUUCAGUUCGCCACCAGUGCCUGCGUUUAUCAAUAAUCUGCCACUGUUGAGAUCAGAGCCACAAGUUCAUCGUCUCCCUGCUUCACCGCCGGUGCCUUACUUUCCCUCCCUUUCGUUCAACAUUAAAACUCAGAUCUUCUCCCCUAUUCUCCGUCACCGCGGUGUUUCUGUGACUAGGGGGAAACUUCGAACUUCUCCCCCUCCUCUGUCCGCGAUGUCCGUUGGCGUGUACGGGCCUUGAGUUUCGGUUCCCUAUGUCAGAUUAUUCUUUUUCCUGGUUUAGCAUCAAUUUCUGUAUUGGGAUUUUAUACGGUACACUGGUUGCUAACAGUAGUUCCGUUAGCCCUUGGCGCGCCAUAGUACACCUAGCUAGCAAGGUGCUUAUAGGAGGUGCUAGCCCCGUGCGAUGGUCAACACACGUGGAAUGGAGGGAUGAUUAUUCGUGAGCAUCGUACUCACGUUUGUUUCAUGGUUUCAAGCCGCGUUUGGUUAGCAUUACCCUUGUAGAAUGUGUGUCCACAUUUGUUUCGUAGCUUCGGCUGCGUUUGGUUAUUUUUACUCGUGGACUGUGUGUCCGCGUUUGUUUUCGUAGUAUAAGCCGCGUUUGGUUAUUGACCCUCGUGAACUGUGUGUCCACGUUUGUUAAUUAUUUUGAUAAGUCUCAAUAAUUAUGAAUCCAAUUAUUUGAUGAUUUUAUAUUCCAUUGAUUUUAUUCAGUAA
This is a long non-coding RNA of Prosopis cineraria, 862 nucleotides long. RefSeq lists it as uncharacterized. Lineage: Eukaryota; Viridiplantae; Streptophyta; Magnoliopsida; Fabales; Fabaceae. The record is from RefSeq and is a predicted model, not a curated record. The transcript has 2 exons.